GGGGGCGUCACGGCUUCGACGGAGAUGCUUGCGGCCAAGUGGCAUGCCGGGGGGCAUUCACCCGUGAUCGAGUGCAAAACGAUAAGUGCCAAUCAUGAAAUGGCAUACGCUGCUUAAUUGAUUUAAGUAGCCGUCCUAGGUGGUUCCGCCCGCGGACCGCCGGUGGACGUCAUUCAGCGGGCUGGCUGCCGAUGCUAAGCCAGGGCGUCGGCGGUGAGAUCCACGGGCUAGCGGAACGCGUUUCUCGUCGGUUCUGAGCGCGGUUCGCGAACGUUUCCGGUGAAGGCCGGAAGCAUGAGCCGAAUAAGCAUGUAGUCACUUCGCCAGUAACAUUUUCGGACGCGGGUUCAACUCCCGCCGCCUCCACCA
RNAcentral lists this transfer-messenger RNA (369 nucleotides) under Terriglobales. Its description in RNAcentral is "DSPA01 sp016185365 X1 Standard tmRNA". It matches the Rfam family "transfer-messenger RNA". From Rfam's summary of the family: Bacterial tmRNA, also known as 10Sa RNA or SsrA, is named for its dual tRNA and mRNA-like properties. RNAcentral also lists the same sequence under 1 other name. The record is from RNAcentral. Lineage: Bacteria; Pseudomonadati; Acidobacteriota; Terriglobia.